Molecule: transfer RNA, 66 nt
Filed under: Cerambycidae sp. 2 KM-2017
Lineage: Eukaryota; Metazoa; Arthropoda; Insecta; Coleoptera; Cerambycidae
Description: tRNA-Tyr
Source: RNAcentral
GGUAAAAUGGCUGAGAUUAGGCGAUAGAUUGUAAAUUUAUUUACGAAAUGAAUAUUUCUUUUACCA